UACCUCGGCCGCUUCUGGAGUGCACCCUC
RNAcentral lists this non-coding RNA (29 nucleotides) under Mus musculus (house mouse). The record is from RNAcentral. Lineage: Eukaryota; Metazoa; Chordata; Mammalia; Rodentia; Muridae.